RNAcentral lists this transfer RNA (73 nucleotides) under Mustela putorius furo (domestic ferret). It matches the Rfam family "tRNA". Rfam says of the family: Transfer RNA (tRNA) molecules are approximately 80 nucleotides in length. Their secondary structure includes four short double-helical elements and three loops (D, anti-codon, and T loops). Further hydrogen bonds mediate the characteristic L-shaped molecular structure. tRNAs have two regions of fundamental functional importance: the anti-codon, which is responsible for specific mRNA codon recognition, and the 3' end, to which the tRNAs corresponding amino acid is attached (by aminoacyl-tRNA synthetases). tRNAs cope with the degeneracy of the genetic code in two manners: having more than one tRNA (with a specific anti-codon) for a particular amino acid; and 'wobble' base-pairing, i.e. permitting non-standard base-pairing at the 3rd anti-codon position. Lineage: Eukaryota; Metazoa; Chordata; Mammalia; Carnivora; Mustelidae. The record is from Rfam by way of RNAcentral.
UCCCGGCUGGCUCAGUUGGUAGAGCAUGGGACUCUUGAUCUUGAGGUAGUGAGUUUGAGCCCUAUGCUGGGCA